UAGGAACGGCUAAGAGAUUAGCUGGUGCCUUUCGGGGAAUCUAGAGACAGGUGGUGCAUGGUUGUCGUCAGCUCGUGUCGUGAGAUGUUGGGUUAAGUCCCGCAACGAGCGCAACCCUUGUGAUUAGUUGCUACAUUUAGUUGAGCACUCUAAUCAGACUGCCGUUGACAAAACGGAGGAAGGUGGGGACGACGUCAAAUCAUCAUGCCCUUUAUGACCUGGGCUACACACGUACUACAAUGGUCGCUAACAGAGGGAUGCAAUGCCGCGAGGUGGAGCAAAACCCUAAAAGCGAUCUCAGUUCGGAUUGUAGGCUGCAACUCGCCUACAUGAAGUUGGAAUUGCUAGUAAUCGCGGAUCAGCAUGCCGCGGUGAAUACGUUCCCGGGCCUUGUACACACCGCCCGUCACACCAUGGGAGCCGGUAAUACCCGAAGUCAGUAGUCUAACCGCAAGGAGGACGCUGCCGAAGGUAGGAUUGGCGACUGGGGUGAAGUCGUAACAAGGUAGCCGUAUCGGAAGGUGCGGCUGGAUCACCUCCUUUAUG
This 546-nucleotide ribosomal RNA is filed under the name uncultured Oscillospiraceae bacterium. Its description in RNAcentral is "bacterial SSU rRNA". It matches the Rfam family "Bacterial small subunit ribosomal RNA", at positions 990 to 1533 of the family's 1533-position model. Lineage: Bacteria; Bacillati; Bacillota; Clostridia; Eubacteriales; Oscillospiraceae. The record is from RNAcentral.